AUGGCUUGUGUCUCUUCGCUGAAGUACUCGGUAAAAUUUAAUGGGAAGCUACUGGCGUCCUUCUCUCCCUCAAGGGAACUCCGUCAAGGUGAUCCACUGUCUCCAUUCCUCUUCUUAUUUGUAGCUGAUGCUCUUUCUGCGUUGAUUGAAAAGGCUGCAAGGGAAGAUGGUCUCAGUGGAGUCAAGAUAAGUAGAGGUGCUCCGGAGAUUACACACCUCUUGUUUGCGGAUGAUUCACUCCUAUUUUUUCAUGCAACAAAUCAGCAGGCAUUGUUAGUGAAAGGGGUGUUGAACACAUUUGCGACGGCGACUGGACAACUUAUUAACCCGUCGAAGUGUUCCAUUCUAUUCUCAAAUCAGUGUCAACCUGAUGUGGUUCACGAGGUAAAAACACGUUGGAUAUCACCCAGGAGGCGUUAG
This 420-nucleotide ribosomal RNA is filed under the name Triticum aestivum (bread wheat). Its description in RNAcentral is "partial small subunit ribosomal RNA". The record is from RNAcentral. Lineage: Eukaryota; Viridiplantae; Streptophyta; Magnoliopsida; Poales; Poaceae.